Molecule: ribosomal RNA, 2902 nt
Filed under: Klebsiella pneumoniae
Lineage: Bacteria; Pseudomonadati; Pseudomonadota; Gammaproteobacteria; Enterobacterales; Enterobacteriaceae
Description: 23S ribosomal RNA
Rfam family: Bacterial large subunit ribosomal RNA
Source: RNAcentral
GGUUAAGCGACUAAGCGUACACGGUGGAUGCCCUGGCAGUCAGAGGCGAUGAAGGACGUGCUAAUCUGCGAAAAGCGUCGGUAAGGUGAUAUGAACCGUUAUAACCGGCGAUGUCCGAAUGGGGAAACCCAGUGCAAUUCGUUGCACUAUCGUUAACUGAAUACAUAGGUUAACGAGGCGAACCGGGGGGAACUGAAACAUCUAAGUACCCCGAGGAAAAGAAAUCAACCGAGAUUCCCCCAGUAGCGGCGAGCGAACGGGGAGCAGCCCAGAGUCUGAAUCAGCUUGUGUGUUAGUGGAACGGUCUGGAAAGUCCGACGGUACAGGGUGAUAGUCCCGUACACCAAAAUGCACAGGCUGUGAACUCGAAGAGUAGGGCGGGACACGUGGUAUCCUGUCUGAAUAUGGGGGGACCAUCCUCCAAGGCUAAAUACUCCUGACUGACCGAUAGUGAACCAGUACCGUGAGGGAAAGGCGAAAAGAACCCCGGCGAGGGGAGUGAAAAAGAACCUGAAACCGUGUACGUACAAGCAGUGGGAGCACCUUCGGGUGUGACUGCGUACCUUUUGUAUAAUGGGUCAGCGACUUAUAUUCUGUAGCAAGGUUAACCGUAUAGGGGAGCCGCAGGGAAACCGAGUCUUAACUGGGCGUUAAGUUGCAGGGUAUAGACCCGAAACCCGGUGAUCUAGCCAUGGGCAGGUUGAAGGUUGGGUAACACUAACUGGAGGACCGAACCGACUAAUGUUGAAAAAUUAGCGGAUGACUUGUGGCUGGGGGUGAAAGGCCAAUCAAACCGGGAGAUAGCUGGUUCUCCCCGAAAGCUAUUUAGGUAGCGCCUCGUGAACUCAUCUUCGGGGGUAGAGCACUGUUUCGGCUAGGGGGUCAUCCCGACUUACCAACCCGAUGCAAACUACGAAUACCGAAGAAUGUUAUCACGGGAGACACACGGCGGGUGCUAACGUCCGUCGUGAAGAGGGAAACAACCCAGACCGCCAGCUAAGGUCCCAAAGUCAUGGUUAAGUGGGAAACGAUGUGGGAAGGCACAGACAGCCAGGAUGUUGGCUUAGAAGCAGCCAUCAUUUAAAGAAAGCGUAAUAGCUCACUGGUCGAGUCGGCCUGCGCGGAAGAUGUAACGGGGCUAAACCAUGCACCGAAGCUGCGGCAGCGACACUAUGUGUUGUUGGGUAGGGGAGCGUUCUGUAAGCCUGCGAAGGUGACCUGUGAGGGUUGCUGGAGGUAUCAGAAGUGCGAAUGCUGACAUAAGUAACGAUAAAGCGGGUGAAAAGCCCGCUCGCCGGAAGACCAAGGGUUCCUGUCCAACGUUAAUCGGGGCAGGGUGAGUCGACCCCUAAGGCGAGGCCGAAAGGCGUAGUCGAUGGGAAACAGGUUAAUAUUCCUGUACUUGGUGUUACUGCGAAGGGGGACGGAGAAGGCUAUGUUAGCCGGGCGACGGUUGUCCCGGUUUAAGCAUGUAGGCUGGUUGUCCAGGCAAAUCCGGAUAAUCAAGGCUGAGGUGUGAUGACGAGGCACUACGGUGCUGAAGUAACAAAUGCCCUGCUUCCAGGAAAAGCCUCUAAGCAUCAGGUAACAUUAAAUCGUACCCCAAACCGACACAGGUGGUCAGGUAGAGAAUACCAAGGCGCUUGAGAGAACUCGGGUGAAGGAACUAGGCAAAAUGGUGCCGUAACUUCGGGAGAAGGCACGCUGGUGUGUAGGUGAAGUCCCUGCGGAUGGAGCUGAGACCAGUCGAAGAUACCAGCUGGCUGCAACUGUUUAUUAAAAACACAGCACUGUGCAAACACGAAAGUGGACGUAUACGGUGUGACGCCUGCCCGGUGCCGGAAGGUUAAUUGAUGGGGUUAUCCGUAAGGAGAAGCUCUUGAUCGAAGCCCCGGUAAACGGCGGCCGUAACUAUAACGGUCCUAAGGUAGCGAAAUUCCUUGUCGGGUAAGUUCCGACCUGCACGAAUGGCGUAAUGAUGGCCAGGCUGUCUCCACCCGAGACUCAGUGAAAUUGAACUCGCUGUGAAGAUGCAGUGUACCCGCGGCAAGACGGAAAGACCCCGUGAACCUUUACUAUAGCUUGACACUGAACAUUGAGCCUUGAUGUGUAGGAUAGGUGGGAGGCUUUGAAGCGUGGACGCCAGUCUGCGUGGAGCCAACCUUGAAAUACCACCCUUUAAUGUUUGAUGUUCUAACGUUGGCCCCUGACCGGGGUUGCGGACAGUGUCUGGUGGGUAGUUUGACUGGGGCGGUCUCCUCCCAAAGCGUAACGGAGGAGCACGAAGGUUAGCUAAUCCUGGUCGGACAUCAGGAGGUUAGUGCAAUGGCAUAAGCUAGCUUGACUGCGAGCGUGACGGCGCGAGCAGGUGCGAAAGCAGGUCAUAGUGAUCCGGUGGUUCUGAAUGGAAGGGCCAUCGCUCAACGGAUAAAAGGUACUCCGGGGAUAACAGGCUGAUACCGCCCAAGAGUUCAUAUCGACGGCGGUGUUUGGCACCUCGAUGUCGGCUCAUCACAUCCUGGGGCUGAAGUAGGUCCCAAGGGUAUGGCUGUUCGCCAUUUAAAGUGGUACGCGAGCUGGGUUUAGAACGUCGUGAGACAGUUCGGUCCCUAUCUGCCGUGGGCGCUGGAGAAUUGAGGGGGGCUGCUCCUAGUACGAGAGGACCGGAGUGGACGCAUCACUGGUGUUCGGGUUGUCAUGCCAAUGGCACUGCCCGGUAGCUAAAUGCGGAAGAGAUAAGUGCUGAAAGCAUCUAAGCACGAAACUUGCCCCGAGAUGAGUUCUCCCUGAGACUUUAAGUCUCCUGAAGGAACGUUGAAGACGACGACGUUGAUAGGCCGGGUGUGUAAGCGCAGCGAUGCGUUGAGCUAACCGGUACUAAUGAACCGUGAGGCUUAACCUU